GUCAGAACCAAAGAGCUGAAUGGGUUGGUGCUUAUGGAAGCUGUUGCUGGAACCAUUGAUGCUUCUGGAGUUAGGAUGUCGAUCAGAUCAUAUGAAUCAGCACCACCAGCAUUUGCAGUAAGGAACCGAGCAAGCUUUUUCUGGUUGCAGCGACACUGGUCCACAAGCUCAAGCAUCACUUCUCGUUUGUUUGGCUGUAUCAGAAGGGUAUAAAAUGUGUAUAUAUUGUUAGCUGUUUAACAGGUGGUGUGUAUGCUGGACUUGUAUCAGCUGGGCGUUCAGGGAAUUGUACUCCAGCUCUCUGGCAUUAAUACAAGCUUCUUAGCAAUUUAUCAGGUUUGGAUGUGGUUCUCAAAGCAUAACGUUUGUUUCACAAAUAUGAUAUUUCGACCAGGUUUUGAGAAUGUAUCUGCCGCUUAUUUCAUGAAUAAAUAAAGUAGAGAAUGCAUAUGGCCGGA
Molecule: long non-coding RNA, 458 nt
Organism: Papaver somniferum (opium poppy)
Lineage: Eukaryota; Viridiplantae; Streptophyta; Magnoliopsida; Ranunculales; Papaveraceae
Exons: 3
Source: RefSeq, a predicted model, not a curated record